This 998-nucleotide ribosomal RNA is filed under the name Kocuria palustris. RNAcentral's name for it is "bacterial SSU rRNA". It matches the Rfam family "Bacterial small subunit ribosomal RNA", at positions 466 to 1460 of the family's 1533-position model. The record is from RNAcentral. Lineage: Bacteria; Bacillati; Actinomycetota; Actinomycetes; Micrococcales; Micrococcaceae.
CAAGUGACGUACUGCAGAAGAAGCGCCGGCUAACUACGUGCCAGCAGCGCGGUAAUACGUAGGGCGCCAAGCGUGUCCCGAAAUUAUUGGGCGUAAAGAGCUCGUAGGCGGUUUGUCGCGUCUGCUGUGAAAGCCCGGGGCUUAACCCCGGGUGUGCAGUGGGUACGGGCAGACUAGAGUGCAGUAGGGGAGACUGGAAUUCCUGGUGUAGCGGUGGAAUGCGCAGAUAUCAGGAGGAACACCGAUGGCGAAGGCAGGUCUCUGGGCUGUUACUGACGCUGAGGAGCGAAAGCAUGGGGAGCGAACAGGAUUAGAUACCCUGGUAGUCCAUGCCGUAAACGUUGGGCACUAGGUGUGGGGGACAUUCCACGUUUUCCGCGCCGUAGCUAACGCAUUAAGUGCCCCGCCUGGGGAGUACGGCCGCAAGGCUAAAACUCAAAGGAAUUGACGGGGGCCCGCACAAGCGGCGGAGCAUGCGGAUUAAUUCGAUGCAACGCGAAGAACCUUACCAAGGCUUGACAUAUACCGGAUCGUUCCAGAGAUGGUUCUUCCCCUUUGGGGUCGGUAUACAGGUGGUGCAUGGUUGUCGUCAGCUCGUGUCGUGAGAUGUUGGGUUAAGUCCCGCAACGAGCGCAACCCUCGUUCCAUGUUGCCAGCACGUGAUGGUGGGGACUCAUGGGAGACUGCCGGGGUCAACUCGGAGGAAGGUGGGGAUGACGUCAAAUCAUCAUGCCCCUUAUGUCUUGGGCUUCACGCAUGCUACAAUGGCCGGUACAAAGGGUUGCGAUACUGUGAGGUGGAGCUAAUCCCAAAAAGCCGGUCUCAGUUCGGAUUGAGGUCUGCAACUCGACCUCAUGAAGUCGGAGUCGCUAGUAAUCGCAGAUCAGCAACGCUGCGGUGAAUACGUUCCCGGGCCUUGUACACACCGCCCGUCAAGUCACGAAAGUCGGUAACACCCGAAGCCGGUGGCCCAACCCUUGUGGAGGGAGCCGUCCGAA